Molecule: ribosomal RNA, 1346 nt
Filed under: uncultured bacterium
Lineage: Bacteria
Description: partial 16S ribosomal RNA
Rfam family: Bacterial small subunit ribosomal RNA
Source: RNAcentral
GACGAACGCUGGCGGCGUGCUUAACACAUGCAAGUCGAACGGAAAGGCCCUGCUUUUGUGGGGUGCUCGAGUGGCGAACGGGUGAGUAACACGUGAGUAACCUGCCCUUGACUUUGGGAUAACUUCAGGAAACUGGGGCUAAUACCGGAUAGGAGCUCCUGCUGCAUGGUGGGGGUUGGAAAGUUUCGGCGGUUGGGGAUGGACUCGCGGCUUAUCAGCUUGUUGGUGGGGUAGUGGCUUACCAAGGCUUUGACGGGUAGCCGGCCUGAGAGGGUGACCGGCCACAUUGGGACUGAGAUACGGCCCAGACUCCUACGGGAGGCAGCAGUGGGGAAUAUUGCACAAUGGGCGGAAGCCUGAUGCAGCAACGCCGCGUGCGGGAUGACGGCCUUCGGGUUGUAAACCGCUUUCGCCUGUGACGAAGCGUGAGUGACGGUAAUGGGUAAAGAAGCACCGGCUAACUACGUGCCAGCAGCCGCGGUGAUACGUAGGGUGCGAGCGUUGUCCGGAUUUAUUGGGCGUAAAGGGCUCGUAGGUGGUUGAUCGCGUCGGAAGUGUAAUCUUGGGGCUUAACCCUGAGCGUGCUUUCGAUACGGGUUGACUUGAGGAAGGUAGGGGAGAAUGGAAUUCCUGGUGGAGCGGUGGAAUGCGCAGAUAUCAGGAGGAACACCAGUGGCGAAGGCGGUUCUCUGGGCCUUUCCUGACGCUGAGGAGCGAAAGCGUGGGGAGCGAACAGGCUUAGAUACCCUGGUAGUCCACGCUGUAAACGGUGGGUACUAGGUGUGGGGCCCAUUCCACGGGUUCCGUGCCGUAGCUAACGCUUUAAGUACCCCGCCUGGGGAGUACGGCCGCAAGGCUAAAACUCAAAGGAAUUGACGGGGCCCCGCACAAGCGGCGGAGCAUGCGGAUUAAUUCGAUGCAACGCGUAGAACCUUACCUGGGUUUGACAUGGAUCGGGAGUGCUCAGAGAUGGGUGUGCCUCUUUUGGGGUCGGUUCACAGGUGGUGCAUGGCUGUCGUCAGCUCGUGUCGUGAGAUGUUGGGUUAAGUCCCGCAACGAGCGCAACCCUUGUUCACUGUUGCCAGCACGUUAUGGUGGGGACUCAGUGGAGACCGCCGGGGUCAACUCGGAGGAAGGUGGGGAUGACGUCAAGUCAUCAUGCCCCUUAUGUCCAGGGCUUCACGCAUGCUACAAUGGCUGGUACAGAGAGUGGCGAGCCUGUGAGGGUGAGCGAAUCUCGGAAAGUCGGUCUCAGUUCGGAUUGGGGUCUGCAACUCGACCUCAUGAAGUCGGAGUCGCUAGUAAUCGCAGAUCAGCAACGCUGCGGUGAAUACGUUCCCGGGGCU